CCCCGACACCCCUAGUGACGGCGGAGGAGGAACCCUAGCCAUCGUCUCAGCUUCUUUGUUCGGCCGCUCCAAGCCUCCCAUCCGAUCGUGAUUCUUGAGAAUGGAAAAACUAGAGGAAAAAAGGGGGAGGACAAAAAAAAUUAACGGGCGUCACUGAAAUAGGGGAAGAGAGGGAGGCGGUGGUGCCUAGCAGGAGAAGCCAAAAAGAAGAUGGGAAAUUUUGAGGUUAUUUGUAAAAUUUCAACCAGAGCAGAGGGAAGCGUAAGAGAGGAGAUUGGAUUUCUCACUUGUUUCUGACAAAGAUCCACCAUAACACUGUCGCCGCAGGAACCGCAAUCUAAUAUGGUCUCGGGAGAAGGCUCCAAUUUGUCUGCAAACAAACAUCUAUCCUUCUUGGUUAUGGUCUAUAGAAUCAUCGCUUGCUUUUUGACUGGACUCUUGUAAUAAUGGUACAUAUUUUGGUUUCAUAGUCAUUUGGACUUCUUCUCGGG
Molecule: long non-coding RNA, 491 nt
Organism: Elaeis guineensis (African oil palm)
Lineage: Eukaryota; Viridiplantae; Streptophyta; Magnoliopsida; Arecales; Arecaceae
Source: RefSeq, a predicted model, not a curated record